UAGGGAAUCUUCCGCAAUGGACGAAAGUCUGACGGAGCAACGCCGCGUGAGUGAUGAAGUUUUUCGGAUCGUAAAGCUCUGUUGUUAGGGAAGAACAAGUACCGUUCGAAUAGGGCGGUACCUUGACGGUAAUUAAAAAGAAAGCAACGGCUAACUACGUGCCAGCAGCCGCGGUAAUACGUAGGUGGCAAGCGUUGUCCGGAAUUAUUGGGCGUAAAGGGCUCGCAGGCGGUUUCUUAAGUCUGAUGUGAAAGCCCCCGGCUCAACCGGGGAGGGUCAUUGGAAACUGGGGAACGUUAGUGCAGACUAGGAGCGUGUAAUUCCACGUGUAGCGGUGAAAUACGUAGAGAUGUAUAGGAACACCAGUGUCGAAUGCGACUCUCUGGUCUGUAACUGACGCUGAGGAGCGAAAGCGUGGGGAGCGAACA
This 428-nucleotide ribosomal RNA is filed under the name uncultured prokaryote. Its description in RNAcentral is "bacterial SSU rRNA". It matches the Rfam family "Bacterial small subunit ribosomal RNA", at positions 355 to 774 of the family's 1533-position model. The record is from RNAcentral.